RNAcentral lists this ribosomal RNA (440 nucleotides) under uncultured bacterium. RNAcentral describes it as "partial 16S ribosomal RNA". It matches the Rfam family "Bacterial small subunit ribosomal RNA", at positions 338 to 795 of the family's 1533-position model. The record is from RNAcentral.
CCUACGGGCGGCAGCAGUAGGGGAUAUUGCUCAAUGGGGGAAACCCUGAUGCAGCAACGCCGCGUGAGUGAAGAAGGAUUUCGGUAUGUAAAGCUCUGUCCUCAGGGAAGAAAAUGACGGUACCUGAUUAAGAAGCUCCGGCUAACUACGUGCCAGCAGCCGCGGUAAUACGUAGGGGGCAAGCGUUAUCCGGAUUUACUGGGUGUAAAGGGGGCGUAGACGGCAUGACAAGUCAGGAGUGAAAUGCAGGGGCUUAACCCAGGAACUGCUUUGGAAACUGUGGAGCUAGAGUGAAGGAGAGGUAAGUGGAAUUCACGGUGUAGCGGUGAAAUGCGUAGAGAUUAGGAGGAACACCAGUGGCGAAGGCGGCUUACUGGGCUGUAACUGACGCUGAGGCUCGAAAGCGUGGGUAGCAAACAGGAUUAGAUACCCGUGUAGUC